GAUGAACGCUGGCGGCGCGCCUAACACAUGCAAGUCGAACGGCACCCCUCCUCGGAGGGAAGCGAGUGGCGAACGGCUGAGUAACACGUGGAGAACCUGCCCCCUCCCCCGGGAUAGCCGCCCGAAAGGACGGGUAAUACCGGAUACCCCGGGGUGCCGCAUGGCACCCCGGCUAAAGCCCCGACGGGAGGGGAUGGCUCCGCGGCCCAUCAGGUAGACGGCGGGGUGACGGCCCACCGUGCCGACAACGGGUAGCCGGGUUGAGAGACCGACCGGCCAGAUUGGGACUGAGCCACGGCCCAGACUCCUACGGGAGGCAGCAGUGGGGAAUCUUGCGCAAUGGGGGGAACCCUGACGCAGCGACGCCGCGUGCGGGACGGAGGCCUUCGGGUCGUAAACCGCUUUCAGCAGGGAAGAGUCAAGACUGUACCUGCAGAAGAAGCCCCGGCUAACUACGUG
Molecule: ribosomal RNA, 459 nt
Filed under: uncultured bacterium
Lineage: Bacteria
Description: partial 16S ribosomal RNA
Rfam family: Bacterial small subunit ribosomal RNA
Source: RNAcentral